This 550-nucleotide ribosomal RNA is filed under the name uncultured Cercozoa. Its description in RNAcentral is "SSU rRNA". It matches the Rfam family "Eukaryotic small subunit ribosomal RNA", at positions 595 to 1138 of the family's 1831-position model. Lineage: Eukaryota; Cercozoa. The record is from RNAcentral.
UAGCGUAUAUUAAAGUUGUUGCAGUUAAAAAGCUCGUAGUUGGAUUUCUGGUUCGAGGGCUUGGCCCAUGGCCAAUUUAGGUUCAUGAGUGCCGAUGCUUUCGUACCAUCCUUCCGGUGAUGAUUCAGGUCCCCUUCAUUGGGUCAGCCUGGUUGUUCCGGAUCUUUUACUUUGAAAAAAUUAGAGUGUUUAAAGCAAGCUGUGUGUUGAAUACAUUAGCAUGGAAUAAUAAUCUAGGACUUUGGUUCUAUUUUGUUGGUUUCUAGCGCCAAAGUAAUGAUUGAUAGGGAUAGUUGGGGGUGCUAGUAUUUACCGGCCAGAGGUGAAAUUCUUGGAUUCGGUAAAGACUAACUUAUGCGAAAGCAUUCACCAAGGAUGUCUUCUUUAAUCAAGAACGAAAGUUGGGGGAUCGAAGACGAUCAGAUACCGUCGUAGUCUCAACCAUAAACUAUGCCGACUCAGGAUUGGUCAAAGUUGCAUUUUCGACUUGAUCAGCACUGUAUGAGAAAUCAAAGUCUUUGGGUUCCGGGGGGAGUAUGGCCGCAAGACU